UAUCGUAUUUGUACAAAUAUUGUAGCCUUCGUACAACCAGUAACUCUAAAAUGUAAGUUCCAACCUCUUGUCUAGCCAUUAUUUGGAUUAUGACUGUACCUUUACAGUAGGUGGCGCUGGAGGUAACAGCCCAAAUGAAAAGAAGAAGAAGCAGCGGUUUAUCAAAGAUUACGUCAUGUAAUGAAAGUGUGGUUCCUUGUGGAGGACACAAACGCAAACACCCCUAAGAGCUGCACUACGGGCUGGGAAGGAUCUCAAGUGGCGGACGGGAGGCGACCUUGCCCGUCACAGACAUGACCAGUGGAAUACAAAUGUCGGCCUGGGUGGGGGCAGAUGGAGUGUGACUGUGCCCUGGUAGCUCACAAGAGGGUGGGAAACAUGCACUCAGCAUAUGCAGAUAAGAGCGCCUGCACAGUCCAUUCUGGAAACCCUGGAACGUAUAGCCAGUUCUGGUCUAAAGUCCACUCAGGGAGGCCCCAGCAACACAUGAGCGAGGCACUCAUGCAAACAAUACUAAAGGUCGUGGGAGCAUGCUGGGGCCUAUCCCAGCUGACUUAGGGCGACAGGCGGGGUACACCCUGGACUAGUUGCCAGCCAACC
Dunckerocampus dactyliophorus (ringed pipefish) is the source of this 600-nucleotide long non-coding RNA. RefSeq lists it as uncharacterized. Lineage: Eukaryota; Metazoa; Chordata; Actinopteri; Syngnathiformes; Syngnathidae. The transcript is spliced from 4 exons. The record is from RefSeq and is a predicted model, not a curated record.